UGGGGAAUAUUGGACAAUGGGCGCAAGCCUGAUCCAGCCAUGCCGCGUGAGUGAUGAAGGUCUUAGGAUUGUAAAGCUCUUUCACCGGUGAAGAUAAUGACGGUAACCGGAGAAGAAGCCCCGGCUAACUUCGUGCCAGCAGCCGCGGUAAUACGAAGGGGGCUAGCGUUGUUCGGAAUUACUGGGCGUAAAGCGCAUGUAGGCGGAUAUUUAAGUCAGGGGUGAAAUCCCGCAGCUCAACUGCGGAACUGCCUUUGAUACUGGGUAUCUUGAGUAUGGAAGAGGUGAGUGGAAUUCCGAGUGUAGAGGUGAAAUUCGUAGAUAUUCGGAGGAACACCAGUGGCGAAGGCGGCUCACUGGUCCAUUACUGACGCUGAGGUGCGAAAGCGUGGGGAACAAACAGGAUUAGAUACCCUGGUAGUCCACGCCGUAAACGAUGAAUGUUAGCCGUCGGGCAGUAUACUGUUCGGUGGCGCAGCUAACGCAUUAAACAUUCCGCCUGGGGAGUACGGUCGCAAGAUUAAAACUUAAAUGAAUUGACGGGGUCAUAGCUGUUUCCU
This 560-nucleotide ribosomal RNA is filed under the name uncultured bacterium. Its description in RNAcentral is "partial 16S ribosomal RNA". It matches the Rfam family "Bacterial small subunit ribosomal RNA", at positions 355 to 1375 of the family's 1533-position model. The record is from RNAcentral.